UCUAACAAAUACAUUUUUCCCAUCCCUAUAGAAAUAUACACAUAUACACAUAAAGUAACACAAUAUUACUAAUACAAUUUGUUCAAUAUUAUAUUAUAAACUGACUCUACCAAACGACACCUAAUUUCAUUAGCAAAAUCAUUCCCCUCCUCACUUUCUCUCUCUAAACAACAUCACCACCGCCGGCCAUCUAUGUCCGGUGUACCACUGUGCCCCGCCACCCUUCCUCUUCCCUGUUAUUUACAGCUGUCGCUGCUCCACCAGUGGACAGCCUCCGCCACUGCUCCGACCGGCGAACUCCACUUCACCCUCUCUCUUGUCUCCUCCCUCUUCAGCCCAAACCGCCGUCGGUCCACCGUUUUCUGGCCGGUGGGCCAUUAAUCAACCAAAAAUAACACCAAGCCGCCGAUGAUAUCACUGUUUCAAAGAAGAGACGAUGAUCAAUCUCUCCUUUGAAAGUUUUAGCCGUGGCAAUUCAUAAAGGCUAUGCAUACUCUGAAGCAAACUUAAUCCUUAUGCAAUGAAACCCCAAAAGGUGGCAUCGGUCUUGUCAAAAUUGAGAGGAAGGAAGGUAGCGACAGUUCUAAUGUAGAAGAUGAUACACGAGGGUAAAAGGGAAUGAUUGGUGAAGCUGUUUGAAAGCUUGCUUUACAGAGAUCAAUGUCAAGAUGAAGAUCCAGUAAAGGGAAUGAUUGACUCUGCUAAACUACACAAAAUUAAUUCAUGGAAGUUACACGGUAAAGCGUGCUGCAUAAUUCUCGACAAACCAGAGAAGAAGAAUGCAUACAUGGUUUGAAUUGUGUGAGCUGUUAAUUUGAAAAAUGAAACUUGAGAUGAAUUGUGGAUUGAAAAACUUAUUUGCUUUGUUUAAUUUGUUGAAUUGUUUGUCUUCCAGCAGAAAUUAAAGUUUAUUAGUUUUAUUUUGAA
Long non-coding RNA from Capsicum annuum, 927 nucleotides. RefSeq lists it as uncharacterized. NCBI's taxonomy places the organism in Eukaryota, Viridiplantae, Streptophyta, Magnoliopsida, Solanales, Solanaceae. The transcript is spliced from 2 exons. The record is from RefSeq and is a predicted model, not a curated record.